UCCGCGUUUAUCUCGGAUUUCAUCAAUUUUUUGUUACUCUUUCGUUUGAAUCCACGAUAGCCAUAACCAGUCUUUUUGAUGGGUUCGAAAGUGCAUGAGAGACACAUUGAAUCUUGAUUGUUUCUUUCUUUUUUCGGGUUACGGAAAAAC
Molecule: non-coding RNA, 150 nt
Organism: Caenorhabditis elegans
Lineage: Eukaryota; Metazoa; Nematoda; Chromadorea; Rhabditida; Rhabditidae
Source: Ensembl